This 308-nucleotide unclassified non-coding RNA is filed under the name Hevea brasiliensis (rubber tree). The record is from RNAcentral. Lineage: Eukaryota; Viridiplantae; Streptophyta; Magnoliopsida; Malpighiales; Euphorbiaceae.
AAGAAAAUGAUAACCAAUUUUUGUCAGGUUCAUUUUUUUCACCACCUUCUUUUGGCCGUCCCAUGUUUUGAGGCCAAAACCAUUUGCUUCAUUAUUAUAGCUGCAUUUUUUUUUGGAACCUUCAACUUGAACUUAGUAAUGACUCCUAUUGUUUUUAAUGGUGUUGUGGUUAUUUUUAAUAUUAUUUUGAUCCUGUAAAGAACAUUCUUGGAUGCUUUUCCCCUUCUUGUUUCAAGUGCUGUUACAUUGAAUUGUCCUUUUGGAUGCAAUUGAGCUGUGAAGUCACUUUAAUGAGUGGUCACUAUGAU